CGAACGCGAUGUGAUCGAAGCGGAACUCAACGCGGGAUUUCUAAGACUGCUGAGUGAUCCUGAUAUUACGGAGCCGCCGACGUCGCUGGAUUGCCCCAAGGAUCCGGACAGAAAAUUGCAUUUAGCCAAGCUUAACUAGAGGCCCACUAACCGAACUAGUUGAUAAGAAA
Long non-coding RNA from Drosophila ficusphila, 170 nucleotides. RefSeq lists it as uncharacterized. The record is from RefSeq and is a predicted model, not a curated record. Lineage: Eukaryota; Metazoa; Arthropoda; Insecta; Diptera; Drosophilidae. The transcript has 3 exons.